GGUUAAGCGACUAAGCGUACACGGUGGAUGCCCUGGCAGUCAGAGGCGAUGAAGGACGUGCUAAUCUGCGAAAAGCGUCGGUAAGGUGAUAUGAACCGUUAUAACCGGCGAUGUCCGAAUGGGGAAACCCAGUGCAAUUCGUU
This 143-nucleotide ribosomal RNA is filed under the name Klebsiella pneumoniae. RNAcentral describes it as "partial 23S ribosomal RNA". It matches the Rfam family "Bacterial large subunit ribosomal RNA", at positions 1 to 142 of the family's 2925-position model. RNAcentral also lists the same sequence under 4 other names. The record is from RNAcentral. Lineage: Bacteria; Pseudomonadati; Pseudomonadota; Gammaproteobacteria; Enterobacterales; Enterobacteriaceae.